GAGGCAUAAAUUGCGGCAAGUCGUAUGUAACGCCGCUUUAGUGUUGUUGUUACUAUGUGAUUGAGGAAAAUUUCCAUGGAUAAAAUUAUUGGAUGCGAAAAAUUUACAGUGUUAAAUUAAUAAUAUUUGCUAGAAUUUAAGCCUGUGUGAAUUGGAAAUAUCUUUUCAACCCGCUUGCAAUUCGUGUCGGCGGUUGUGUUCCACCCCACCAACAAGAGUGAAUAAGAAUUUUUUUUAUAGUGU
This is a long non-coding RNA of Anastrepha obliqua, 243 nucleotides long. RefSeq lists it as uncharacterized. Lineage: Eukaryota; Metazoa; Arthropoda; Insecta; Diptera; Tephritidae. The transcript is spliced from 2 exons. The record is from RefSeq and is a predicted model, not a curated record.